GAAGUGCUUGAGCGAGAUCUUCGUCUUCGGGACAUAUGCCGGCGGUGGAUGCACUGGUACCACCGGCAACAGAGGUAGAGUCUCAUGACCGCGGUGUCGAGGAUGAUGCCUUGUCACAGGCAAUGCUUCGUGUUCUGGAAAGGGUUGUCGGGGCAAGUACGGGCAAUGGAGUUCGGGGAUCUAUUUCUGAACGAUUUCGAGCUAACGGAGCGGAGAUCUUUAAGGGCGUAUCUGGUAUAGCCCCGAAUGUGG
This 252-nucleotide long non-coding RNA is filed under the name Gossypium barbadense (sea-island cotton). RNAcentral's name for it is "long non-coding RNA (GBAR_LNC010945)". The record is from RNAcentral. Lineage: Eukaryota; Viridiplantae; Streptophyta; Magnoliopsida; Malvales; Malvaceae.